This 421-nucleotide ribosomal RNA is filed under the name uncultured bacterium. RNAcentral's name for it is "bacterial SSU rRNA". It matches the Rfam family "Bacterial small subunit ribosomal RNA", at positions 355 to 774 of the family's 1533-position model. The record is from RNAcentral.
UAAGGAAUAUUGGUCAAUGGACGCAAGUCUGAACCAGCCAUGCCGCGUGAAGGAUGAGGGUCCUCUGGAUUGUAAACUUCUUUUAUCUGGGACGAAAACGGGAUUUUUAUCUCAAUUGACGGUACCAGAGGAAUAAGCACCGGCUAACUCCGUGCCAGCAGCCGCGGUAAUACGGAGGGUGCGAGCGUUAUCCGGAUUUACUGGGUGUAAAGGGCGCGCAGGCGGGAUAAAAAGUCAGUGGUGAAAUCCUACAGCUUAACUGUAGAACUGCCUUUGAUACUUUUAUUCUUGAGUUCGGGAGAGAGAGACGGAAUUCCAGGUGUAGUGGUGAAAUACGUAGAUAUCUGGAAGAACACCAGUUGCGAAGGCGGUCUCUUGGUCCGACACUGACGCUGAGGCGCGAAAGCGUGGGGAGCAAACA